GUCUGUGACCACACCUCCCGGGAUGCAUCUGUGCUCAGAAGCUAAGCAGGGUCAGGCCUGGUGAGUACUGGGAUGGGGAAAUAGGAAAGGGACAAUUGGACAAAGUUU
This 108-nucleotide ribosomal RNA is filed under the name Microtus ochrogaster (prairie vole). The record is from RNAcentral. Lineage: Eukaryota; Metazoa; Chordata; Mammalia; Rodentia; Cricetidae.